UGACGUCAAGUCCUCAUGGCCUUUAUGCCUAGGGCUACACACGUACUACAAUGGACGGAACAAAGGGUCGCGAUACUGAGAGGUGGAGCUAAUCCCAAAAACCCGUCCCAAGUUCGGAUUGGAGUCUGCAACUCGACUCCAUGAAGUUGGAAUCGCUAGUAAUCGCGGAUCAGCAUGCCCGCGGUCCGAAUACGUUCCGGGCCUU
This 205-nucleotide ribosomal RNA is filed under the name uncultured Desulfobacterium sp. Its description in RNAcentral is "partial 16S ribosomal RNA". It matches the Rfam family "Bacterial small subunit ribosomal RNA", at positions 1180 to 1382 of the family's 1533-position model. Lineage: Bacteria; Pseudomonadati; Thermodesulfobacteriota; Desulfobacteria; Desulfobacterales; Desulfobacteriaceae. The record is from RNAcentral.